Molecule: long non-coding RNA, 1009 nt
Organism: Rhinolophus ferrumequinum (greater horseshoe bat)
Lineage: Eukaryota; Metazoa; Chordata; Mammalia; Chiroptera; Rhinolophidae
Exons: 5
Source: RefSeq, a predicted model, not a curated record
GUACAAUUGUAAGCACAAUCAGUCAAAUAUUCCUUCUGGAAACCCCUAAUGAUCACUGUAUGUGGACAUCGUGCAACAUGAUUGUAUGAAUGAGGACCAGUGUGUUAUUGUUGGAAAUGGUGGAGAAAUGGUUGUAUGGUGUGUGCAGAUCCAAGAAAAUGAAUGAAUCCCAAGCAGAAGAAACAUGAAGGAAAUUCCACCAAGGCAUGUCAUAUUCAAAUUACUCAAAUACCGGUGAUAAAGAGAAAAUCUUUACAAUAGUCAAAGAAAAAAGACAUUAUGUGCAAAGGAACAAAGAAAAAGUGCUGGCGUCAGAAAUUUUUGGAGCUGAAAUGACAAAAAUUCUGAACGAUGCUACAAAAAUGGCUAAACUUAUCAAAGGCUGGUUCACUGAAGAAUAUUUAAAAAACUACGUGGAAAUCUGGACAAAGACCAUAUAAAUGCAGAAAAUCUUAUGGCUUAGGAGAUCAUUUGUUCUAAGGAUGUUUGAGCUAAAAAGUGAAAUGUGGGAGUACUUUCAAGAAAAUAGUAGGCUACAUUUUGCCAAAUGCUUUGAAGACCAAGAAUGGUUACAGACUUGCCUACUUAGUAGACAUUUUUCAUCACAUGAACUAGUUGAAUAAGUAUCUUGAAGGGGUUGGAGAAAAUAUUUUAAUUUCAAGUGACAAGAUUCUUGGUUUUAAACAGAAAUUGACUCUUUGGAAAAAUCAUACGGCAGAAAGAAACCUUGAAAUAUUUCCACUGCUGCUUACAUUUCAAAGUGAGGCAGUCUCAAGUGUCAAGUUUAAACCAAACCACCUGGGGAAAUUGCAGAACAACACAGAACAUAUUUUCCCUCUCUUUCAACACAAGUGUAUGACUGAAUGAGGGCUCCUUUUUCUGAAUCUUCUUUUCAGCCUGAGCACCUGACUUUUGAGAGAAGAGAAAGAUCUUUGUUAGUUGGUUAUAAACGUAAGAUGAAAUUUACUGAUCUGCCUUUGUACAAGUUCUGCAUUUCUAUGAAAGAGCA